GUCCGCCAACGCCGCCGUCGCGAGCGCAGGGCGAGCUGAGGGUUGAAUGGGAGCGGUUUGCCUCCCUCGUCCAGGCCGAGUGGACGCGCCACCCUUUUGCCGUUUCCCUGUCGGAACAGCACCUUCUUACUAAACCGAUCGGAGAAGCCAGGAUGCAGUGAUUAGUGGGGAACACUGGAAUCUACCAACCAGAAACUCUCAACAUACAGAGAGGACAAUGAAGAAAACUUCAAAGAAACCAAUUCCAGUUGCCUAAUCUAACAAGUUUCAAAAAGAGAGAGUACACUGACCCUUUACUGCUAUGCAAUAAAGCACAAGAAACUGGGA
Long non-coding RNA from Grammomys surdaster, 327 nucleotides. RefSeq lists it as uncharacterized. The record is from RefSeq and is a predicted model, not a curated record. The transcript has 2 exons. Lineage: Eukaryota; Metazoa; Chordata; Mammalia; Rodentia; Muridae.